RNAcentral lists this ribosomal RNA (372 nucleotides) under uncultured eukaryote. RNAcentral describes it as "partial 18S ribosomal RNA". It matches the Rfam family "Eukaryotic small subunit ribosomal RNA", at positions 592 to 975 of the family's 1831-position model. The record is from RNAcentral.
CAAUAGCGUAUAUUAAAGUUGUUGCAGUUAAAAAGCUCGUAGUUGGAUUUCUGGGAGGGUGCCAAUGUCCGCCGACGUGCGUGCGCAGCGGCGCCCUUCCAUCCUUCUGUUAACGCCUCUUGGCAUUCAUUUGCUGGUGGCGGGCUCAGAUAUUUUACCUUGAGAAAAUUAGAGUGUUUCAGGCAGGCUAGGCCGGAAUACAUUAGCAUGGAAUAAUGGAAUAGGACUACGGUCUCUUUGUUGGUUUGAGGGACUGCAGUAAUGAUUAAUAGGGAUAGUUGGGGGCAUUAGUAUUUAAUUGUCAGAGGUGGAAUUCUCGGAUUUGUUAAAGACUAACUUAUGCGAAAGCAUUUGCCAAGGAUGUUUUCAUUA